This 3805-nucleotide long non-coding RNA is filed under the name Olea europaea subsp. europaea. Lineage: Eukaryota; Viridiplantae; Streptophyta; Magnoliopsida; Lamiales; Oleaceae. The record is from RNAcentral.
CACAUUUUUCACUCAAAUAACGUAUUUAUUCAUUUAUUUCCUGGUGGAAUUUCUAUCAUUCUCAUUGACGUCGCCCUCCAUAAACACAGAGUAAACGCGAAAACACACACAGCGAAUUCAAUAAUCUAGGGUUUUUAAUGGCCAAUCCAGUUACUUCAGGAUCGGGAAUCUUCAAGUUCCUCAGGCCCAGUAUGCGCCCUCAGGCCACGGACAUCCAGGCUGCUGCCCUGUGGGGUGUAACCGCCACCACCUCAGCCUUGUGGAUCAUCCAGGUCUCCGUUAUCCACCUUUAAAUCCAUUUCUCGCGUGUUAUAGAUCUAUAUCUUUGAUUAAUAUCUUGCUUGAUUUUGACACUAUAUUAUUAAUUUGUUUGACCAAUGUUGGUUUAUUUUUGUGUGUUAUUUCUGAUUCAUCUUAGAUCUUAUGUUUUAGCUUUCAAUGGGAUUUCCGUAUCAAUGUGUGGCAAUGACUUUUUUUUCCCCUUAUUUUGUUUUAUGGAAAUUGCUUGAUUUUCUUUGUGUGAUGCAUUUUAUUAAUAAAGUUGUUCCUUUUCCUUUAUGUAGAAUUGAAUUUUUGGAAAAGAUCAAAUUCUAAAAUAUGAAUCAUUGUUCGAUUCAAUACCAAGGGUCAUAUGCCAGAUGAACAAAGAUGGAAACGUUUUAUGGCUCGAAAGCAGUUUUUAGUAUGUCAUUCUUAAUAGUAUGGGUUAAUAUGUGUGUAUCUUAUUUCGUGUUUGGCCUUUAUUGAAGGAAGAUUUCAUAUCAUGGAUAUGGGAUAUCUGAGAGUUAAGUGUUCCAAUGGUUAGGUCCAUGUUUUUGAGUUUAAAAUGUCGAAUUUUGGUCACUGAACUUAAGUACAUGCCUUUGACUGAUCACUGAAGUUUAAAAUACUGAGUUUUGAUCACACUGAAGUUUAAAAUACUGAGUUUUGAUCACUGAACUUAAGUUCAUAUCUUUUAUUGCUCACUGAAAUUUAAAAUGUCAAAUUUUAACUACUGAACUUUGAAAAAUAUUAUACAUUACUCACUGAAUUUUAGAAAAUGCUAUACAUAAUUUUAGAAAAUACUAUACAUUAUUCACUGUAAAUUCAAUAUUUUUGAAAGUUUAACAGAUAUGUUAGUGAGUAACCUACGUCAUAUUCCAAAGUUACGUGGCCAAAACAUUUUAAAUUUCAGUGAGUAAUCUAAGACAUGGACCUAAGUUCAGUGACCAAAACUCGACAUUUUAAAUUUCAAUGACCAAUCAAAGAUAUGAAACUAAGUUCAAUGAGCAAUCGAAGAUAUUAACAUAAAUUCAGUGACCAGUCAACGACAUGAAUUUAAGUUCAGUGACCAUUGGAACAAUUAACUCGAUAUUAGAUGAAACAUAGUAUUUGAUUUAAUCUUUUUUUGAGCUGAAAUGUGUCUCCAAACUUAUUAUGUUUGGUGUCUCAUUGAGAUUGCCGCCAUCAAUCCCACAAACAUUAAGAAAUAUUGUUACCAUAUAAAACAUAAAGUAAACCACAUGUUACUCAACUGACCAGAAAAUGACUGUAACCAUUUUUUAAUCAACAUUUUGAUAUCAUCGGUGGAUGAGUGGAUGCUUAAUCUGAGUUCAGGUGUGGAACAUUAUAGAUUGUUGCUUGAUGAUGUUGAACUUAAGGUUUGGAAACUGUCUCUGUAAUAAAAAUUCCUAGUAUGAUUUUAGGAUAAUCAGAAACUGUGGUUGGAAUAAUUAGAAAUUUCUUAUCAAUGCUUAGUACUGCUUGCAAUCAAACUGCAUUCAUACUUUACUCUUUUGAUGGUUCUGAAGUCAACUCGUCUCCUCUCCAAACUUUCAAAGCUCAAAACAUUAAUUUAGUUCAUUUUUAAAUUGAAAUACUUGCAAUAUUGCAGUCUUUAAUGUGAAUUUUAUUGAUAUUUAUUAUUUCUCCCCAACACCUUUUUUUUUUUUUUUUUUUUUUGCAUCCCCCUUAUUGUGUAUGUAGACAUAGAUAGUUCAAAAUUCCAAUGCCUGUUUUUUUCUCUUUUAGUUAAUGAGUAAAGAUGGAUCCACAUAAAAUUUUGAAGGUGGAUCUUUCCCUUUGAAGUGGUAACACUUAAAUGUUGAAUAGAUUCAAUUGAUUAAAAAUGUGUGUGUGUGUGUGUGUGUGUGUGGUUUAUUUAUUAUGUAUUUAUUUUUUGGAUAAAUUUUUUAACCACUGCCUAUUGGUCUUCAAAAUUUUAUUGAAUGUUUAAUUUUAUCUUGUAUGAGAGGACAAUUAAAACUAUUGAUAAUUAGAUAGGACUGUUUCAGAGAAUCUGUAGAGACAAUUGUAAGGUACACCAAAACAUUUUAAUUAAUUUUAGGAUUUUUUGAGGAUAUUGACAUUGAUGGAUAGAUUUAUCAUGUGAAGUUCUUGAGAAGGGGCACACCAUGCAUUUUGGAUAAGCUUAAAAAGUCCAUUGGAAAUAAAUAAACAAGUUGUUGUUGGUCACCUUUGAAAAUAAGUGAAUUAACUUUUUUGAGAAAAACUGUAACUGUACUUUUAAUUUUUUAUAAUCAUCAAGCAUGUUUGGAAACAAAAGAUUACUUAAAAGCAUGAUCUGCUGCUUUCGAAAAUGAAAAAAAAAAAAAAAUGAUUUAGACCUUUUCUGCUCAAUAAGAAAAAUGUAAAACCUACUUUUCAGCUAAAUAAAUUAAUUAUGCUCUAAAUGUUGUUUUUCAAAUGACAGAGCAGCUUUCCCAAGCUCUGGAUGGCUUCUCGAAGAUUACUUUAUACGUGUUUUGUUACUUUAUUUUCUUGUUUGCCUAUGGAGUUUCAGUUUGUUUGGAGUGAGUUUGUUAUCUAAUUGGUAUUUUAUUAGCAAGCAUUUCUCUGCCUCCCUGUCUUUGGCACAAGAUAGAUGAUUAAUGAUUUGUGCACGGAUUUUGGUCUCUGAAGUGUGCAAUAUUUAAUUAAAACGUGCUCCCUCUCAGUUUCUUCUUCAUCUUCUGUAUUUUUAUUUAUUUAUUUAUUUUUUAUCUGUCUCAUUUUACAUUCAACUAACUUGGAUCUUCAUGUCAUUUUUGAAUAUGUACAGCCUUUUGAUUGGUUGAAAAAGACACUUUUUGAGAGAUCCAACUCCGAAGAGAAGUGAAUGGAAAUGUGAAAUCUUACUGGUAACCUUUUUGAGAUUAUUAUUACCGAUUUGAACUUUGAGGAGGAUUCAGUUGAAUUAUACCAUUUUGUUUCAUGUUUUCCCAUGAAAAACCUCUACUUCAGUUUUUGGAUUAAUUUAGUAAAAAGCAUGGAUUCUCUCUCUCUCUCUCUCUCUCUCUCUCUCUCACACACACACACAAAUCGCCGUGGUCUUACGCAGACUGUUUUGCACAAUGAUGGAGUAUUGUAUUCUCCUACUUAUAGCCAUGAUGUUCUCUAUAUCUAUUUUCACUUCUUUCCCAUUGUAGUUCUUCUUUCUUUGUAUUUUUUUCCUUUGGUGAAUGGGUCCUCAGACCUUAAUUUUCUUGAAAAGAGUACCUUUUGACUGGUUUCCCGUUUCUGUCCAUAAUGAAAACUUAACUAGAGAAAUUGAAGGUCUGGAAUUUGUUUGCUAAAAGAAUAAUGCCAGCUAGUGCCAAAAAUAACAUAACUAUUGCUAAAAGUAACGCUACUAUUGCGAAAAACAUGAGAACGAAGCUCAAAAAUUUCCCCCAUUUACGUCCCAAAUGAAUCAUGUGCCUUCAUUGCUAAUAAGAAUGAUGCAUGCAAGUAUUUGACAAAAUAUAUACAUUAUUAAGAAUAUUAAAUUUAUUUCUAUGAGCAUCUAUUAUGAAUUUAUGUCUGUGGGAAGUAUUUGAUAAAAGUC